This is a long non-coding RNA of Manis pentadactyla (Chinese pangolin), 4338 nucleotides long. RefSeq lists it as uncharacterized. The transcript has 4 exons. The record is from RefSeq and is a predicted model, not a curated record. Lineage: Eukaryota; Metazoa; Chordata; Mammalia; Pholidota; Manidae.
CUUGCCAACAUUUAUUAUUUUUUGUUUUUUUAUAGUAGUCAUUCUAAUGAUUGUGAGCUGGUUCUAAUAACUUUUUAAAACAAGUUAUCAGGGAGAAGUUAUUCUAAAAACUGAUGAAUUAAAAAAAGACUUUUUUCCCAAGAAAAAUGUUAUCAUAGUUCCUCUCAGCAUUUCCCACCUGAGCCAAGAGGUAUUUUUCUUCUAAGAUAUCAUUUACCUAAGUUUUUGAUAGGUUAUCUUCAAUAUGGUCGCAUUUAAGAGGUCUGGUGACGAAGGUUACGGAGAAAGAACCAGCCUGUGACUAGCAGUUGUGUGUUGUAAUAACAGCUUUGAAUUUAGUCUCUGAAGAACUAGGUUUGUCAAUCAGGUUUGUCACCUUACUAGCUGUACAAUCUUGUAUAAAGUCACUCAACCCAUCCAAGCUGCAGUUUCCUCAUUUAUAAAUCAGAGGUAAUAGCACCUAUUUCACAGGGCUGUGGUGAAGAUUAUAUAUGAUAAUAGCACCUGGCCUACAGAAGAUACUGGAUAAAUGUUAACUUCAUUCCUUUUUCCAGAGUAGGGUCAGAGUUGUCUAGUUAUUUUGUUGAGAUUAUAGAAUGCACAGUUGAACACUGGGAUAGCAUUUCUCAAAGUUACUUAAGUCAGAAUUUUUAAAUAUUUUCUCCAGAAAUAUGUUUCUUUCCCAUUCCAGUAAGUGGCUCUACUGCCCAACUAUUCAGUUGUAUAAGCCAAACCUACCAGUCAACCUAAAAUUUUCCCCCUUUCUUCAUCCACCAAGUCAAUUGCUUCUACCUCCAAAAUAUAUCUCAAAUCUAGACACUUUCUUCCAUCUGCACUCCCACUGCCAUAUCUCUACUUCUGUCUGUCCCUUGCCAAUCUAUUUCUACUCAGCAUCAAGAAUAAGCUUUAAAAAAUAUACUGCACAUCACUCCUCUGCUUAAAACCCUUUAAUGUGUCCUCAUCAGAAUAAAAUGCAAAUGCUUUACCUUGGCCUGCUGAAAAGACCCUGAAUGAUCUGAUUCCUGCCUCGCUCUCUAGCCUGACUUUGCAUCUCCAGUUUACUUUGCUCCAAGCACACUGCUUUCUUUUCUGUUCCAUGAAAACACCAGGUGUUUUCCCACCUUUUUGCACUAGCAAUUUCCUCUGCCUCAGACACUCUGCCCUCAGGUUUUCUCUCAUAAGGCUGAAAUGUCACCUCCUAAGAGAGAACUUCCCUGGUCCCUGCCCUCUAACCGUCUCUCAUAUCAUAAUUAGCCAUAAUUAAAUUGCUUCCUUGUUUGCUGUCUGUCUUCUCCCAAAGGCAGAAACUGUGUCUUGUCACCACUAUCCCCAUAGCACCUUGCCCAGUGACUGGCACACAGGGCACUCAAAUAUCUGUUGAAUGAAUAACCAAGUGAAAUAAUGAAAAGAAAAAGUCUUGAAAGAAGAGAAGAGGCUUGAAAAUUUGCAUUCUGGCUAGCUUCUCGGGUAAAUUGGUCAAGGAACAAGCAGGAGACUAUGCACACUCAAAUUAGAAAAAUUUGAGUAUUGUUUAAUAAGAAAUCAUUUUCUAAAGUUAUGAAGCCUCAAGCAUAGUAAAAUGCCCAAGGACUUAUGUAGUAACAGAGUUCUUAGCACCUAUAAAAUGGAGAACUCAGUGGGGAGCUGUUACUGGAACCUAGAAGGAGAGAGUCCUUGAAACAAAGCCACCUUGAAAUAAGCUUGUCCUUCAGUCAAGGAACUCAGGGAGCCCAAAGUGACUUUUAUAGAGAAGCACCUGAGAAAAUCCAUACCAACCUUUCUCUCUCUUACCUCUCUGAUCUUAUACUAGGGCUCUGCACUGGGCAAAUUGGAAGGAGAAUGGGACUGGGGGUAGGGCUCCGAUAACAUUUUAUCUCCAAGGUUUUAUUUCUCCUUUUAGGAAACACUAAGGCAUAUAUAAUAUUAAGCUGUAAGUUCUGGGUAUUAGAUUCACAAAUGGUUAAUAUUAUUUUUUGUUUUUAUCUAAGAUUUUUAAAUUUCUCAAAAAGGUGGUGGUACAGUUUUCCAUCUACUCCCGUGGACAAUGGUUUCAGUUACUGAAUACUGACCACUGAGCCCAUCUCUAGUGCUAUCAGUAUUGUUUAAGCAAUGUCAGAGAACAGUGAAUACAUUUGACAUGUGGGAAUUUUCUCUUUGCUAGCUUUUCUUUGGGAAGUUCAAUUUUCAUAGGUAGGAUCAUAUUACAACCUCCCCUCCUACCUAGUUUUUGAUGUUUCUCUCAGCGUUGAAUGGUGAACUGGAGAUAAAUUAGAAAAAUUGGUGGCAAGGUUGAGGUUAAGGUUAAGAAGACCAUACCAGUUCUAGCCAGAUGACCUUGUAAACUCCCUCAAUUUCAGUUGUGUCUAAAAAAUGGGAAUCUGAGAACAUCAAGUACUCUACCAGGUUGUUGAAAGAAACACUUGAGAAUGUAUGUAAAAGUGAAUAAAAUCUAAAUACUUAUAUAAAUGUCACGUAUUACCAUUAUUCAGCAAUACCAAACUUUCAAACUCAUUGUUACUUGAAGCUUAAUUUGAAUUUAAACAUUUAAGAAGGUUUCUUGUUUUUUUCUUCUCCAGCAAUCUAUGGCUUGUUUGGUAUCAGCCAUCUGUAAAUCUCCAAGUAGGUAUCCUAGGAGUCUAAAAAAUAAACAUCAGCUUCCUUCUGAGGAUUCCAGGUCAGGUCCUGCGUGCAUCUCCCCAGGCCCCUCACCAACACUUCCACUCUCGCCACCUAAGAGUUGGAAACUGAUUCUGCUCAUAACAAUGUAAAAUUUGGAAAGAAGAAGUAACAAAAAUAAUUAUAUCAAUGAUGAUCAAAAUGAUCCCGAGCAACUAUAACACAAAAUUAUAUAGGUCCUCAGGAGACCAUUCUCAAUGGAGAAAAAGAUUCCUCCAUUUCCCUGCUGGCACCACAAUGAGAGUGAAAAAAAGCACUGAGAGGUCUGUGUUCCUAACACUCCAAGUUAAAAUAAGGCAGUGAACAUGGGUCAAGUUCUAUAGCAUCAUAGUUCAUUUCCAUAAUUAGUCUUCUGUGAAGUAUCCUGUGAACUAUCUUAGAAGCUUAAUGCGCAUUAGUUACACUAUCCUAUAUAUAUAGGAAAAGCACAUUUUAUUUUAUUUCCAAAUAGCUGACCUAAAAGUGACCUUUUAGAAUACAAAUCACUAAAGCAAGGUGGGAACUAAUUGUUCUGGAAAGCUAUACAAGUUAUUUCUAUACUGUUUAUGUCCAUUAGAAUGAUUAAGUGACAGAAACUAAAAAUCAUAUGCAUUUAACACCCAUUAAAAAUGCAUUCUUGAACAUAAAAUACCCUAAGGAAUCCACCCCAAAACUACUACAACUAAUAAUUUAAUUCAGCGGUGGCAGCAUACAAAAUUGAUACACAGAAAUCUGUUGCAUUUCUAUAUACUAACAAUGAACUAGCAGAAAGAGAAAUCAGGAAAAUAAUUCCAUUCACAAUUGCAUUAAAAAGAAUAAAAUACCUAGGACUAAAUCUAAUCAAGGAGGUGAAAGACCUAUACCCUGAAAACUACAAGACACUCAUGAGAGAAAUUAAAGAAGACAUAAUAAAUGGAAAUAUAUCCUGUGCUCAUGGAUAGGAAGAAUUAAUAUUGUCAAGAUGGCCAUCUUGUCUAAAUCAAUCCCUAUCAAAAUACCAACAGCAUUCUUCAACAAGCUAGAACAAAUUGUUCUAAAAUUCACAUGGAACCACAAAAGCCCCUGAAUAGUCCAAACAAUCCUGACAAGGAAGAAUAAAGCUGGGGGGAUUAUGCUGCCUGACUUCAAGCUCUACUACAAAGCCACAGUAAUCAAGACAAUUUGGUACUGGCACAAGAACAGACCCAUAGACCAAUGGAACUGAAUAGAGAGCCCAGAUAGAAACCCAAGCAUAUAUAGUCAAUUAAUAUAUGAUAAAGGAGCCAAGGAUAUACAGUGGGGAAAUGACAGCCUCUACAACAGCUGGUGUUGGCAAAACUGGACACCUACAUGCAAGAGAACAAAACUGGAUUAUUCUCUAACUCCAUACACAAAAGUAAACACAAAGUGGAUCAAAGACCUGAAUCUAAGUCAGGAAACCAUAAAAGUCAGAAGACAACACAGGCAAAAAUCUCCUGAAUAUAAACAUGAGCAACUUCUUCCUGAAUGCAUCUCCUUGAGCAAGGGAAACCAAAGCAAAAAUGAACACAUGGGAGUACAUCAAACCAAAAAGCUUCUGUACGGCAAAGGACACCAUCAACAGAACAAAAAGGCAUCCUACAGUAUGGGAGAAUGUUUUUGUAAAUGACAUAUCUGGCAAGGGGUUAACAUCCAAAAUAUAUAAAGAACUCACACGCCUCAUCA